RNAcentral lists this ribosomal RNA (497 nucleotides) under uncultured bacterium. Its description in RNAcentral is "bacterial SSU rRNA". It matches the Rfam family "Bacterial small subunit ribosomal RNA", at positions 29 to 517 of the family's 1533-position model. The record is from RNAcentral.
AUUGAACGCUGGCGGCAUGCUUUACACAUGCAAGUCGAACGGUAACAGGCCUUCGGGUGCUGACGAGUGGCGAACGGGUGAGUAAUGUAUCGGAACGUGCCCAGUAGUGGGGGAUAGCCCGGCGAAAGCCGGAUUAAUACCGCAUGAGAACUGAGGUUGAAAGCGGGGGACCUUCGGGCCUCGCGCUACUGGAGCGGCUGAUAUCAGAUUAGGUAGUUGGUGGGGUAAAGGCUCACCAAGCCUGCGAUCUGUAGCUGGUCUGAGAGGACGACCAGCCACACUGGGACUGAGACACGGCCCAGACUCCUACGGGAGGCAGCAGUGGGGAAUAUUGGACAAUGGGGGCAACCCUGAUCCAGCCAUGCCGCGUGUGUGAAGAAGGCCUUCGGGUUGUAAAGCACUUUAAGUCGGGGAGGGAAGGCCGUGAUGGCUAAUAUCCAUCGGGAGUUGACGUUACCCGCAGAAUAAGCACCGGCGAAACUUCGUGCCAGCAGCCG